This 1309-nucleotide long non-coding RNA is filed under the name Mus musculus (house mouse). RNAcentral describes it as "long non-coding RNA chr7:83044009-83045318". The record is from RNAcentral. Lineage: Eukaryota; Metazoa; Chordata; Mammalia; Rodentia; Muridae.
GCAAACUCAGGGUCUUCUAAAUCUCAGACCCUUCAUUUUUGCAAGAGGAGGUGGGAGGGUUAUUGUGAGAAUCAAAUGUGCUUAAAGCACUCAGGAUCUGAAACACCAGGAGGUUGUGCAUCAAGCCUCCUUUAUGUACAGGAGAAGACCUGGGAGCUCAGGACUCCUGGGCACUUGGCACCCUCUGAGAAUGUCAAGUGAGACCCAGUGAAAUGCUCUCCCUUCACAGUUACCACUGAGCUACCCAGCCACCCUGCGGUUGUCCUGGCAUGGAGUCAAAGCUGUAGGCUGGCUACCUGAGAGUAUACAACAGCAUGGAUGGAAUGCAGGCUCAGCUGAGAAUCAGAUUUUUUGACUUCCCCAUCCUCAACAGGCCUUGGAAGUCAGGUUGUCCAGACGGCGUCUGUAAUUGAAUUUCAUCAUAUUUAUUCAGCUUUUUAUUUGAAAAAAAAUUAUACUUCUCAAGAUGAUAAGAGAAGCCUGUUUGAGCCAGCUGGCCACAUUAGGAAAUUAUAUUUGCCGUCCAUUACUUGUGGAUAUCCGUUUCUUUGGUUAUUCAUUCUAUAGGAGCUGUGCGUGUCAUUUAUCUCAGCCACUGCCCUCUGGAUACUUCAACAGCGGGCAUUGCCAAAAUUUGUAUAAUUUUUUUAACCCUAGGAUCAUGGGUUGGGAAACUCCAUCCUUGCUUUAAUUCCCUGUAGUUAUAAUCACUGGACAAAACAGAUGCCUGCCCUUUCACGUUCCUUCCCACACAAUGCAACUGUAUCUACAGCCGAGACACUUCCCUGCCUCCCACAGUCUCCCUGUCAUGUAGAGCUCAGGCUUCAGCUGGACCUGGGACUGCCUGUCUCUUAGUGAGAUUUUCCAAGUAGAGCUUGAGGGUCACAUAGAGGAAAUAUAGCUUGGCGUGGACUCACGGCCGUCAGAAGAUCCCCGUGUUCACGAACCCCAUUCUGUUCUAUUUCUAACACUGUGUGCUAAGAAGUACUCCGAUAUCUUAAACAAGAGGUUUGUAGAACUUAAGUAGGGCUAAGGAGCCCGAAUCAACUUUUGAGAGAAGCUUGAGGGUUGGAGAGAGGCAGGAACUAGAAGAAGAGAAGCUGGCCAGACCAGCAGCUUCACCAUUAACCUCAGGGUGCAGGAAGGUGAUAAACUGACAGUCGCAGGGACCUGACGUCCCACAAAGGCAGGACAGAAGUCACCCGUUGUUUCUUUCCUUAUACUGAUCAAUGACUUUUAAAAAUCAUUUGGCUUCUUAUGUAUUGUUAUUAUUGUUGUUAUGUGUAUAUGUGUUUUGCCUGCAUGUAUG